Molecule: long non-coding RNA, 1382 nt
Organism: Bombus pascuorum
Lineage: Eukaryota; Metazoa; Arthropoda; Insecta; Hymenoptera; Apidae
Exons: 4
Source: RefSeq, a predicted model, not a curated record
AAAAUAAGUACCUAAGUUCGACGUUCUUAAUACGAACUACGAUUCCCUUUAGAUCUUGCAGUUAAGAUCACAGGACGAUCAUUCAACUGCACCUUCGCAGGAUACGCUUCCAAAGCUGUAUUUUAUACCAGGAUGGAAACGCGAUAUUUGGAAACGCGGCGUAAUGUGAUGUUUAUCGACAGCGUGGUCGCGCGCGUAUUCCACAUUAACAUUCCGUAUAAAAUCCGUAGGUAGAUAAGUGGAAUGCCCUGUACAGAGACGCGUUUGCAUACACGCCGGUGUAUAUCUAGAUGCUACAUGCAUCUGCGCCCGUCCGUUGAACGUGCAUGCACGCGAGUUUAACGAGCGCGGCAGAGGCUGGCGCCAAACGGCGAUCCUAACAUCGGCCAACCGAUUCGCGAUCUCUGCCUUCUACGAUAAUCCUCUGCCAUGGCAUACUGUUGUCCGCUGCGGAAACGUGAUCGAGCAUGAUCGAGCCUCGUGCUUACAGCCUAUCCUAAUAGAUAUCAUAAUGAACGUACAAAGUCGGGCAAAUACUGGCGUUGCAUAGGUCUGGAGAAUGGGAAUAUUGUGAUAGUAUAUUAGUACAGAAUUAUACACCAUUUCUUUUAUAGGAAAUAUUUUUGAUAGCUGUAAGUGUUAAUUAUUAAUAUGGAAAGUAUUUUUAAGGUCUAAAGAAAAUUUCUAUCGUUGGUAGUGAAAAUGAUUUACAUAUAUCUGAAAUUUGGUGAAAAACUGGCUAUUAUUAAAUACAGAAGUGACAGUAGAGAGAAGGAAACGAUACGUGUAAAGGGCCACGAGACUAUUUUUCAUUCAUGAAUGAAGCGAUGCGAACGUAAAAGUACUUUAUCCAUCAUAUUCGUUAUCAAGAACAUGGCAAUGCAUAGAGUAUUUUUACCACAGAAUUUCUAGCUCUGAGAAUAUCUUACAAUCCCUAGUGUUUCAGCGUGUAUCACGAGUGGCUCUUUCGAAGCUUAUAAUUAUUAGACACAGAACAAAUAUGACUCCUUGAAUAGCGCUCACUGAAUAAUUUUGAUAAGCCUAUAUAUGCAUAGAUAGGGCAAGCAACGCUUUGUGAGAAUGCGUUCUAAUCGUAAAUGCGUUCAGCAACCGGUGACCCAGAAUGUUAAUACUUUCUCCUUCCUUAAGUAUUCUUUUGUUCUCCGUUCAAAUGCACCUGUAUUGUUCCCGCAACACACAACCGUUCCGUGACAAAGCGAUAACGGGUCACGAAGGUUCCGAUACAAUGUUCAGAGGAGAAUACUACUGACGUAAGUAAACACGUACGAACAGCCGCUGGUGGACCAUCGAAUUGAACUCCGAAAAUAAAACGAUACGUGGCUAAGUAGACUGGAAGAGAAAAUUUUUUUCUCCUCCUAUUU